This 1942-nucleotide long non-coding RNA is filed under the name Pan troglodytes (chimpanzee). RNAcentral's name for it is "long non-coding RNA NONPTRT008017". The record is from RNAcentral. Lineage: Eukaryota; Metazoa; Chordata; Mammalia; Primates; Hominidae.
GCCCCAGGUCGGGGCGGGGUGCACGGCGGCGGCGCGCGGAUGGGGGGCUCACCGGCAGGUGUAGCUGAGGUUGCGGCGGAUGCUCCGCUUGAAAAAGCUUUUGCAGCCCUCGCAGAGGAGCUGUCAUUAUUGACGUUUUACAGAAGCCACAGGCUUUGCUCAAGUUCAUUCGGUGGUAAGUGGACAAGCCACGCCAGAACUUAGCCUUCUGCUUCUCUGUCUGGCCUGGACGUUCAAGAUUGCAGCAGCGCCUUUUUGGUCAUGGUUGAAUCAAAAAAUAAUUUUUGAGAAACUUUGCAAUGAUCAGGCCACAUAAGCCACCGAAUAUGACGCAUCUCCUGCAUUUUUAUGUUCAGCUCAACAGUGUCAUGAUCCAAAGUGUCUUGGAUCUUUUUUUUUUUUUUUGAGACGGAGUCUUGCUCUUGUCACCCAGGCUGGAGUGCAAUGGCACGAUCUCGGCUCACUGCAACCUUUGCCUCCCGAGUUCAAGUGAUUCUCCUGCCUCAGCCUCCCGAGUAGCUGGGAUUGCAGGUGCCCGCCACAUUUUUUUAUUUUUAGUAGAGACAGGGUUUUGCCACGUUGGCCAGGCUGGUCUCGAACUCCUGACCUCGUGAUCCACCUGCCUCGGCUUCCCAAAGUGCUGGGAUUACAGGAGUGAGCCACCGCGCCCGGCCCCGAAGUGUCUUGGAUCUUAAUGAGGUUUAGUUAAUCUAUGACUGCAUCAUCAUGAAAAUUUCCACAAUGUCCACCAGGCUCUGUCAUUGAAUCUUCCAGCAGCAGAGCCCACAGGUCUCCUUGGCUUCCUGAUACCUUCGUGGGCAAGGCGCCCCUGUGUUCAGAAGGAAGAGGAAAGUGACAAAUUCCAAAAAGAGCCAGAGGGAAGGGUAUUCUUGGGAUCCCAUAGCUGGCACAGGGCUCCAUGUGGAUGGACACUCUGAGCUUGGGGACUGCAAGCUCCCAGGUGACGCAUUACACAUUAGGAGUGGCAUUUCCUGUGCCCACCUGGUCAUUCUGUGCAAGCUGGGGCACCUACUCAAGGCACGUGUGUGAGACUGUGUGUGUGUGACUGUGUGUGAAUGUGCCUGUGUGUGUGUGAAUCUGUGAGUGUAUUUCAGUUGUAUAUGUAAGUGCAUUGUGUGAAUUUGAGUGUUUCAAUGUGUGUGAAUGUGUAUGUGUGUGAAUGUGUGUUUGUGUGUAUCAGUGUGUGUGAAUUUGUGUUUGUGUGUGAAUGUGAGUUUGUGAAUGUGUGGGUGAGAGUGCCUGUGUGUUUGUGUGUGUAUAUGUGAGUGUAUGAACGUGUGUUUGUGUGUGUAUGUGAGUGUGUGAAUGUGUUUGUGUAUGUGAGUGUGUGUAUGUGAAUGUGUGUGGGUGUGUGAAUGCGUGUGUGUAUGUGUGUGUUUGUGUGUAUGUGAGUGUGUUUGUGAAUGUGUGUGGGUGUGUGAAUGUCUGAGUGUGUGAGUGUAUGUGCAUGAAUGUGUGUUUGUGUGUUUGUGAAUGUUUGUGUGUGUUUGUGUAUGAGUGUGUUUGUGAAAGUGUGUGAGUGUGAAUGUGAGUGUGUGUGUGAGUGUGCACGAACGUGUGUUUGUGAAUAUGUGUGUAUGUGAGUGUGUGUGAAUGUGUGUGGGUGUGUGAAUGUGUGUGCAUGUGAGUGUGUGUGAGUGUGUGUUUGUGAAUGUGUGAAUGUGUGUGUAUGCGAGUGUGAAUGUGUGUGGGUGAGUGUGUGUGUUUGUGAAUUGUGUGUGUGUGUGAGUGUGUAUGUGAGUGUGUGAAUGUGUGUGGGUGUGUGAGUGUGUGAGUGUAUGUGAGUGUGUGUUUGUGAGUGUGUGGGUGAGUGUGUGUAUGUGAGUGUGAGCGUGUGUGUGUUUAGAGUCUGCACUCUGUGUGGAUCAGGAAAGGGGUCCUUGCAGGCUCGCUGAGUCCCUGCUCUGUGCCCAGCCCCGAC